CUGAGUUGUUGAAACAGGCUGCUGCUGGCUCCUUUUGGGAGCAUGUGCACGCUUGUUCACAUCCCAUCCUUCACACUUGUGCACCAUCUGUAGUUCUGAGCUGAGGCGUGCUUGCUUGCUCGCCUCAAAAGCUCAGUUCUAUGUUAUUUCAACUACCCUUCAGUUUGAUAGAAUGUGUUUGUGAUAAUAUAUAUAUAUA
This 199-nucleotide unclassified non-coding RNA is filed under the name uncultured Odontia. RNAcentral's name for it is "sequence contains ITS1". Lineage: Eukaryota; Fungi; Basidiomycota. The record is from RNAcentral.